UUGUCCCCAAGCAGGUGAAGUCCUUUUAAUAAGGCAAUUGGUAGAUAUAAGAGAUAUGUAGCCUAUCUCCUACUACUCUGUGAGUCACUCACCUUGCUCACACUACUUGUGUUGAUGCAUAGUGAGUAAAAGCCCAAAAUCUAUCGAGUCUAACUUGUGGAGAGAGUUCCCCCUUUCUGAACUCCCACACCUUCUGAUAUUCAAUGCUCUCCCUGACCAGGGAUAAGAGUGAUGAGGCACACCCCUCAUAUCCUUUCAUCUGCUUAAACUUGUGGAGAGAGUUCCCCCUUUCUGAACUCCCACACCUUCUGAUAUUCAAUGCUCUCCCUGACCAGGG
Molecule: long non-coding RNA, 337 nt
Filed under: Lathyrus oleraceus (garden pea)
Lineage: Eukaryota; Viridiplantae; Streptophyta; Magnoliopsida; Fabales; Fabaceae
Description: Pisum sativum (pea) long non-coding RNA (PSAT_LNC034494)
Source: RNAcentral